This 84-nucleotide transfer RNA is filed under the name Nephrodesmus ferrugineus. RNAcentral describes it as "tRNA-Tyr". Lineage: Eukaryota; Viridiplantae; Streptophyta; Magnoliopsida; Fabales; Fabaceae. The record is from RNAcentral.
AUAUCAAUAUAUAAAAAAUCCGCCUCUUUCAUUUACAGCAAAAUGGUUCGAAUCCUAAACAGAAAAAGAAAGGGUUUGAAAUAA